This 406-nucleotide ribosomal RNA is filed under the name uncultured bacterium. RNAcentral's name for it is "bacterial SSU rRNA". It matches the Rfam family "Bacterial small subunit ribosomal RNA", at positions 355 to 773 of the family's 1533-position model. The record is from RNAcentral.
UGGGGAAUCUUGCACAAUGGGGGAAACCCUGAUGCAGCGACGCCGCGUGAGCGAUGAAGCCCUUCGGGUUGUAAACCCCUUUCGACAGGGACGAAGCGCAAGUGACGGUACCUGUAGAAGAAGCACCGGCCAACUACGUGCCAGCAGCCGCGGUAAUACGUAGGGUGCGAGCGUUGUCCGGAAUUACUGGGCGUAAAGAGCUUGUAGGCGGUCUGUCACGUCGAUUGUGAAAACUUGGGGCUCAACUCCAAGCUUGCAGUCGAUACGGGCAGACUAGAGUACUUCAGGGGAGACUGGAAUUCCUGGUGUAGCGGUGAAAUGCGCAGAUAUCAGGAGGAACACCGGUGGCGAAGGCGGGUCUCUGGGAAGUAACUGACGCUGAGAAGCGAAAGCGUGGGUAGCGAAC